GAGGGAAGUUUUCUCAUGUGGAGAACGUGACAGCAAACGCACAUGUCAAGGACGAGCUCCUCAACAGAACGGCAGGAAAUUGCAUGGACCUCACAGAAGAAGAAGAUAAACAAAUGGCUCGUAGGAAGAAGUGUCUGACAAUAAUAUGACGGGCGUCAUGACAGGCAUGAACAGAUACCUAGUUUGUUCCCACACUCAUGGAGAAAACUGUGCCUAGUCCACUACAACUCCCAUGACCACCACAUACCCGGAAGACAAUGACAUCACAGACACAGACUGAAUUUCUUUUUUGUCUUUAUCGAGUCUUUAUUUGGGGCUGUUUCUUUGACCAAUAUCCCUCCUGAGAUCUAUACAACCUUGGUGACCAACUACAAGAAACAUCUGAGCUGUGUGCUUGCCAAGCACUAAGCUAAGUUUUACUUGCGGAUCAAACACUUAUUUCCAUCCAUCCAUCCAUCUACGCCACCUGUCUUCACUAGGGUUGCGGGUAUGCUGGAGCCUAUCCCAGCUGACUUCGGGCAAGAGGCGGGGUACACCCUGGACUGGUCACAAAAAGACAAACAUUUAACCUGCAUGUUUCUGAAAUGUGGGAGGAAGCCGGAGAACAUGCAAACUCCACAGAGAUGCCCAAUGGAGAUUCGAUUCCAGAUCUUCCCGAUCUACUGAAUGUGGCCAACAUGCUAACCACUAGGCCACAGUGCGGCCCAGAUACAAAUUCAUUGAUAACCUUAAUUUGAUGUUUGAUGGGGGUUUUUCUUACAUUCUGUGUAUGUUGUAACUAACCUACCAUAAAAAUUCUGGACUUUUCAUAUCUUACAAAAUCAGCAGGGAUCAAAUACCAAUUUCUCCCACUUGAUAUGACAGGAGUGCUUGGCUGAGGACAUCAAACCCAAACAAUCAUAAAGAUGCUGCUGUUAACACCAGCUCACCUUUAUUUAAGAAGGCAUUCUAUUAAAAGUCAUCAAAAGGUUCUUAAGUACAUUUAGCUUAAUUUAAUAUCAGAUGACUAAGUGUAGGUAUCACCUCCACCAAAAUAAC
Long non-coding RNA from Dunckerocampus dactyliophorus (ringed pipefish), 1038 nucleotides. RefSeq lists it as uncharacterized. Lineage: Eukaryota; Metazoa; Chordata; Actinopteri; Syngnathiformes; Syngnathidae. The record is from RefSeq and is a predicted model, not a curated record. The transcript is spliced from 3 exons.